GAUGAACGCUGGCGGCGUGCCUAAUACAUGCAAGUCGAGCGAACAGAUGAGGAGCUUGCUCCUCUGACGUUAGCGGCGGACGGGAGAGUCACAUGUGGAUAACCUACUUAUCAGACUGGGAUAACUACGGGAAACCGGAGCUAAUACCGGAUAAUAUAUUGAUCCGCAUGGUUCAAUAGUGAAAUACGGUUUUGCUGUCUCUUAUAGAUGGAUCCGCGCCGCAUUAGCUAGUUGGUAAGGUAACGGCUUAUCAAGGCAACGAUGCGUAGCCGACCUGAGAGGGUGGUCGGCCACACUGGAACUGAGACACGGUCCCGACUCCUACGGUAGGCAGCAGUAGGGAAUCUUACGCAAUGGGCGAGAGCCUGACGGAACACCGCCGCGUGAGUUAUGAAGGUCUUCGGAUCGUAAAACUCUGUUAUGAGUUGAGAACAAAUGUGGAAUUAGCUGUGCAGGUCUUGACGGUACCUGAUCAAAAAGCCCCGGCUAACUACGUG
Molecule: ribosomal RNA, 497 nt
Filed under: uncultured bacterium
Lineage: Bacteria
Description: partial 16S ribosomal RNA
Rfam family: Bacterial small subunit ribosomal RNA
Source: RNAcentral